GCCGGGCCGGGCGAGCCGGACCGGGCCGGGCGUGCCGGACCGCGGCGGGCGGAGCGCGGCCCCGCGCCGGGCGCGCGCAUGCCCGGCGCGGCCCCGUGAAGCUGUAGAUACAACAAUGAGCCGCAGCUGCCCCAUCUCCGGCGGCAGGCACUGAUUGCUUCCUGGAGCAGGAGGACAUCUGCUACGAAUCUCAGCUGAACACAAACCAUACAAUAUGUAUUGUAAUCUACCUGGUUGUUCUUAACAGGCAUCGAAUAAACAGAGUCUUGGAACAUCAAAUUCCAAGGCCAGACAUUAAAAUAAAGGAAUGGCAGAGUCGCUUUAGCCAUAGACAGCUUAAAAAAAAAAAUAAAAGAAGUCAUAAUAAAAACUCAGCUCUUAGUAUGA
This is a long non-coding RNA of Myiozetetes cayanensis, 387 nucleotides long. RefSeq lists it as uncharacterized. The transcript is spliced from 2 exons. NCBI's taxonomy places the organism in Eukaryota, Metazoa, Chordata, Aves, Passeriformes, Tyrannidae. The record is from RefSeq and is a predicted model, not a curated record.